GACGAACGCUGGCGGCGUGCUUAACACAUGCAAGUCGAACGGAAAGGCCCUGCUUUUGUGGGGUGCUCGAGUGGCGAACGGGUGAGUAACACGUGAGUAACCUGCCCUUGACUUUGGGAUAACUUCAGGAAACUGGGGCUAAUACCGGAUAGGAGCUCCUGCUGCAUGGUGGGGGUUGGAAAGUUUCGGCGGUUGGGGAUGGACUCGCGGCUUAUCAGCUUGUUGGUGGGGUAGUGGCUUACCAAGGCUUUGACGGGUAGCCGGCCUGAGAGGGUGACCGGCAAAAUGGGGCGUGAGAUAGGCCCAGGACUCGACGGGGGGGCAGUGGGGGGAAGUAUGGCAAAGGGGGGGGAGGCUGGAGCAGGCAGCCCCGGGGGGGGGAUGAGGGCUGUGGGUUGAAAAACCGCUUGCGCGUGGAAGGAAGGGGGGGUGAGGGUAAGGGAAAAAGAGGCACGGGCUAACUCCGUG
This 468-nucleotide ribosomal RNA is filed under the name uncultured bacterium. RNAcentral describes it as "partial 16S ribosomal RNA". The stretch from base 20 to 329 matches the Rfam family "Bacterial small subunit ribosomal RNA", at positions 47 to 358 of the family's 1533-position model. The record is from RNAcentral.